Molecule: ribosomal RNA, 111 nt
Filed under: Neogale vison (American mink)
Lineage: Eukaryota; Metazoa; Chordata; Mammalia; Carnivora; Mustelidae
Source: RNAcentral
GAUGAACCACCCUGAACGCACCCGAUCUCGUCUGAUCUCGGAAGCUAAGCAGGGUCGGGCCUGGUUAGUACUUGGAUGGGAGAAGUCCAAGGGGUGAAUGAGCCAGCAGCU